CAUUGUUGUAGAACUUUGUGUAUAGAUCACCUGAGUAAAUCUAAUAAAUGGUGUUUACAAUAUGCAAAAAUCCACAUGUGUUUGUAAUUAGUACUAAGAAGUAAAAAGCUAAGAUUGUAUUUUAAGAUCCUGAAAAAUUCUGUCUUUAAAUUAUCAUAAUCCAUAUGCUGAUAAACUCAUAUGGUUCCUUAUAAUUUAACAAAUAGUAACAUUCUAUUUGUCGAUUGUCUCAAUCAUAGUGUAUGAAGAACAUAUUCCAUAGACUAACCCUGUUGAUUGAAGUUGUCAUGAACUAACAAUCCUAUCACUUUAAAUAGCUUAAAAUUGCUUUACUGAGAUUGUGAUACUGUACUAUGA
Molecule: non-coding RNA, 357 nt
Organism: Pelobates cultripes (western spadefoot toad)
Lineage: Eukaryota; Metazoa; Chordata; Amphibia; Anura; Pelobatidae
Source: the annotation of a GenBank genome assembly